RNAcentral lists this ribosomal RNA (440 nucleotides) under uncultured bacterium. Its description in RNAcentral is "partial 16S ribosomal RNA". It matches the Rfam family "Bacterial small subunit ribosomal RNA", at positions 338 to 795 of the family's 1533-position model. The record is from RNAcentral.
CCUACGGGAGGCAGCAGUGGGGAAUAUUGCACAAUGGGGGAAACCCUGAUGCAGCGACGCCGCGUGAGUGAAGAAGUUUUUCGGUAUGUAAAGUCCUAUUAGCAGAGAAGAAAAUGACGGUACCUGAUGAAUAAGCACCGGCUAACUACGUGCCAGCAGCCGCGGUAAUACGUAGGGGGCAAGCGUUACUCGGAUUUACUGGGUGUAAAGGGCGCGUAGGCGGGAUAGCAAGUCUGGUGUGAAAUGCCAUGGCUUAACCCUGGAACUGCAUUUGAAACUGUGAAGCUAGAGUGCAGGAGAGGUAAGUGGAAUUCUUGGUGUAGCGGUGAAAUGCGUAGAGAUUAGGAGGAAUACUAGUGGCGAAGGCGGCUUACUGGACUGUAACUGACGUUGAGGCGCGAAAGCGUGGGGAGCAAACAGGAUUAGAUACCCGUGUAGUC